Molecule: ribosomal RNA, 505 nt
Filed under: uncultured bacterium
Lineage: Bacteria
Description: partial 16S ribosomal RNA
Rfam family: Bacterial small subunit ribosomal RNA
Source: RNAcentral
GACGAACGCUGGCGGCGUGCCUAAUACAUGCAAGUAGAACGCACAGUUUAUACCGUAGCUUGCUACACCAUAGACUGUGAGUUGCGAACGGGUGAGUAACGCGUAGGUAACCUGCCUGGUAGCGGGGGGUAACUAUUGGAAACGAUAGCUAAUACCGCAUCAUAUUAAUUAUUGCAUGAUAAUUAAUUGAAAGGUGCAAUUGCACCACUACCAGAUGGACCUGCGUUGUAUUAGCUAGUAGGUGAGGUAACGGCUCACCUAGGCGACGAUACAUAGCCGACCUGAGAGGGUGAUCGGCCACACUGGGACUGGGACACGGCCCAGACUCCUACGGGAGGGAGCAGUAGGGAAUCUUCGGCAAUGGACGGAAGUCUGACCGAGCAACGCCGCGUGAGUGAAGAAGGUUUUCGGAUCGUAAAGCUCUGUUGUAAGAGAAGAACGGGUGUGAGGGUGGAAAGUUCACACUGUGACGGUAUCUUACCAGAAAGGGACGGCUAACUACGUG